This 1235-nucleotide long non-coding RNA is filed under the name Nicotiana tabacum (common tobacco). Its description in RNAcentral is "long non-coding RNA (NTAB_LNC000191)". Lineage: Eukaryota; Viridiplantae; Streptophyta; Magnoliopsida; Solanales; Solanaceae. The record is from RNAcentral.
GUGGAGGAGGAGGAGGCAUUCCUUGGGGAAUAGGAGGAGGCGGAAUCAUAGACAUUCCGGGCUGGGACAUCGGGAGGGGAACAAAGGGGCGAGGUGCUCCCAAAGGUGUAAACUGUGAUCCAGGAGGUGGUGGAAUAGGAUGGCCAUGCGAAUUCAUGGCCAUUGAUGGAGGCAUUGGUGGACGAUUUACCAUGAGAUUUUGCUGACCUAGCAUCUGUGGCAUGGGAGGAGGUGGGGGCCGAACCUGAGGAAUCAUGUUAACCAUAGGAGGUCGAGGUGGAGGCGGAGCAGCAACCCCAGCACCGGUGGAGGUGGAAUACUGGACGGUAUUAGGAGGCCUAGGAAUAUUCAGCGCAAGCCCAGGAGGUGGAGGUAGUGGCCUAACAGAUGGAAAACCAGGUCUGGGAGGUGGAGGAGCCUGCGGACCAGGAAGGUUUCUUUCAUCAUUUGCAGCAUCAUUCUGAUCAUCUGCAUUAGUGUUGUGAGACAUUGCCUGGCUUGCAGUGCGACCAAUGCUACCUGUGUGACCAUCCCAUAUGACCUGCUUCGGCUCUUCCUUUUUUUUCUCAAUCUCAGCCUUGACCGCAUUUGAAACUUCUUCUUCCGUAGUACCAAAUAUAUCCGGACGGGUUCUUGCAAGCCCAACAAUGUUCCUAGAUAUCUCAUCAUCCUGCGCAAGAGUUGUCUCCUUAAUCUUCGCAAACAUCCUGUCUUUCUGUUCCUUGUACUUUGGAUCAAUGAGAGAGAUCCUCAUAUGUUCAGACAUUUCAUUAAUAGGUAUUAGCUCACCAGUUAUAGGAGAGACAACAUACUUAGUCGGGUCCCUUUCUGCGGGGAUCCUCUCUUCAGGCCUCUUCCAGUUCUUCACAAUCCGCAUAGGUGGGUCCUGUUCCUCUGCAAUUCCCAUGGUUUCAGCACUCUUGACAUCACCAUUCUCUUGAAGAGUCGCAGCUCUCAUACCUUCUUCGACUAGCUGCACCUCUUCUUCAUCCAUCUCCAUUUCCACCUCUUUUCCAGGCUCAACAUACUCUUCUUCCUCCAAUGUAGGCAUCUUGCUCCUCCUUAUAACCUCCUCAAGGGUCAUAGGUGGAGGUAAAUCCUGAUCCUCAUCAUCAGCAAAAUCUAUAGUCUCAACGACAACAAAAUCAUGCCAAUCAAUCAUAGCCAUCUGCAACCUCUCCUGUUCUAUCUCAUCUUCAGCUUUCUGCCUAGCCUGCUCCUGUGACUUUUCCCAC